Molecule: ribosomal RNA, 467 nt
Filed under: uncultured bacterium
Lineage: Bacteria
Description: bacterial SSU rRNA
Rfam family: Bacterial small subunit ribosomal RNA
Source: RNAcentral
AGCAUCCUACGGGAGGCAGCAGUGGGGAAUAUUGCACAAUGGGCGCAAGCCUGAUGCAGCCAUGCCGCGUGUAUGAAGAAGGCCUUCGGGUUGUAAAGUACUUUCAGCAGUGAGGAAGGUGGGUAUGUUAAUAGCAUACUCAUUUGACGUUAGCUGCAGAAGAAGCACCGGCUAACUCCGUGCCAGCAGCCGCGGUAAUACGGAGGGUGCGAGCGUUAAUCGGAAUUACUGGGCGUAAAGCGCAUGCAGGUGGUUUGUUAAGUCAGAUGUGAAAGCCCGGGGCUCAACCUCGGAAUUGCAUUUGAAACUGGCAAACUAGAGUACUGUAGAGGGGGUAGAAUUUCAGGUGUAGCGGUGAAAUGCGUAGAGAUCUGAAGGAAUACCGGUGGCGAAGGCGGCCCCCUGGACAGAUACUGACACUCAGAUGCGAAAGCGUGGGGAGCAAACAGGAUUAGAUACCCUGGUAG